Arabidopsis lyrata subsp. lyrata is the source of this 102-nucleotide microRNA precursor. The record is from Rfam. NCBI's taxonomy places the organism in Eukaryota, Viridiplantae, Streptophyta, Magnoliopsida, Brassicales, Brassicaceae.
GGUAACGCGAGAUAUUAGUGCGGUUCAAUCAAAUAGUCGUCCUCUUAACUCAUGGAGAUCGGUGUUGUUCGAUUGAGCCGUGCCAAUAUCACGCGGUAAACC